Molecule: ribosomal RNA, 231 nt
Filed under: Bacilli bacterium
Lineage: Bacteria; Bacillati; Bacillota; Bacilli
Description: partial 23S ribosomal RNA
Rfam family: Bacterial large subunit ribosomal RNA
Source: RNAcentral
CGGGAUGGACAUAGCAAUGGUAUAUCGGUUGUCACGCCAGUGGCAUGGCCGGGUAGCUACCUAUGGAAUGGAUAAACGCUGAAAGCAUCUAAGCGUGAAGCCAACCUAAAGAUGAGACUUCCCAUUCGAAAGAAGUAAGACCCCCUGAAAGUUACAGGGUUGAUAGGUUAGAAGUGUAAGCAUAGUGAUAUGUUCAGCUGACUAAUACUAAUAGGUCGAGGACUUAAUUUC